GGACGGGGGUGAUAUCACUCUAACUUGUAGUAAAGAGUGAUUGAAGUUUAUCAGAGCACAAGUCACAUGACUUGGGGCUGCUGGGAAAUUGACAAUAUGUCUAGCCCCAUGUCAGAUUUCAAAAUUUAAUAUAAAAAAAUCUCUUUGCUCUUUUGAGAAAUGGAUUUCAGUGCAGAAGUCUACUGGAGCAGAACUAUUAACUGAUUCAUUUUGAAAACAUUUUUUUUCCCAUGACCGUAUCCCUUUAAGAAAAGUGAGGUCCUGCAGCUGUUAUGACCUCCAGUAUUGCAUUACCUAGCCUAUGUGGUUUGGUGAAUUUUCAUUAAAAAAACUCCAAGGUCCCUGGGGGACCCUGUGCAAUCCAUUUUCUCUGCUGAGCUAAAAUGCUAGGCCUUUCAGGUAUUUCAUAUUAAAUACAAUGAAAACAGGGGCAUUCACCUGUAGCAGAAUCAUUUGUUCCUUCCUGGGAUUUGAUUAAUUGCUUUGGAUCUGGGCUUGUGUUGACCAUAUGUGAAAUUAGGGUUUUUGUUUUUUUUUUCCUCUUUAUGGUAUUACUAUUUUGGAAAUACCCAUGGCUACUAAUGAUUGCUAUAUUAAAUUAAGCACCUGUAUAAGGAAUUAUACACCAUAGUCUAUUUUGCUUGUUACUUGUCCCCCGAGUCAAUUCAGCUUCUAUAGAUCGUAUAAUCUCAAUAUACAUAAACUAACUUUUGUUGAAAUGUACACACCAUAGACCAGAAAGAGUAACACAAUUUAUUAAGAAUAUAAGCCCUGAUCCAAAAAGCCUUCAAAACAAACUAGAUUUGUCUUCAGUGUUCUAGGGUUUACAAAGCCUUUUUAAAUAGUCUGCACCAACAAGGUUUGUAGAGUUGCCGGAGUAAUGUUUCAAAUCCUGAAUUGCAAUAAAUGUAAAAGUUACCUAUCCGGAUGUGGCUUGUUGGAUCACUGUAAUGCCAAUAUUGCAUGAAUUUAUAAAUAUUUCCAUCUGGAUAAUAGGGCGUAUGGAUGAACCAUCCAUGUUUGUAUCAGCUCAAUGUUUGCUAAAGAAACUGAGAUGUAACCUUUUAUAGAUAAGUGGAUUAAAUGAGACUUCUCUAGCACAGGACCUCUACAACCUUUACUGUAUGGACCCAGUCAGCCUUAAUAAAGGAGUAACAAAGCAGCAACAGCUUCGUGUUCCUGAGAAGUGAAAGCAGCAUUUACUUUGCUGAUAGUGAGCAGCUUUCUCAAGGCUAGUUACAGCUGAAAUACAGAAGACAGUCUAGCAAGAGUGCAACAUCUUUUGGAGUCUACUAGAAUGAUAGCUACUAAUGGUGUGACCAAAAGCCAAUAGGUCUAGCACAGAGACCUAUAAGCAAGGGCCCUAAGUAUAGGUGAGAACAGUGAUGCGAAGAAUGUACAAGAAAAUCUUUGAUCUGAAUUGAAAGAUCUUCAAACUGGCUUUACCAUGCAAAGGAGUCUGCAGCAAAGUUAUGUUGAUACAUAAUUCCUCCAGGUUUUCUGUCUAAGGUACGUAUUAAAAUUAUCCUACUUUUUUCUUUAUUUUAUACAGUAAAGUAAAUUUCCGUGGAUUAGUAUUGCAAUUUGUUCAAGUUGUGCAAAGUAAAUACCAUUGUAUUUUAAAGAGCACAUAUUGACCAUUUCCCAGGAGAUCAUGAAGGUUACUGUUCCAUUGCAACGUGCAGCAGCAUUCUGAGAUGACAACCUUUGUGCUAUAAUCAUGUCCUGUUCUUGCACACACCUCUGGUCCCAUCAUAUUGUAUCACUUGUGCAGUAUGUUUUAGUAGGCCAGGUUCCCUGAGUAUCCGCUGCUAAUUUUUCUGGAUGCUCUCAAGCACCAAUUUGCUUUUAACAAGGUUGUUAUUGAGCCCAUAGAUGGAAUUUGGUCACAAGCUCUUGCACUUUGCCAGGCUUAUCUAAUUUUCUUUUUUCAGAAAUGGCAACAACACCAGUGUGGCUGAAUACAACAUAACUGACCUAAGGGAUAUCAUACGUGACCCCUGACUACUCGGGGGCUACUAAGGCUGCACGUCAGUCUAUAUAAAAUUGAUGAGCAUAUGAUACAAUUUAUUUAAUUGUGCUCAUAAUUCCAGUGUCAUAUUCCAGACCAUAUGGCCAGCAUAUCAUUUUAAUUUUAAAGUACAUUCUCCUUUGUCUGCAUUCAUUUUUGAUCUCCUCCAUGUAGCUUCCAUGAGGGUAGCACACGAGAAAACGAUUUUGCUCUACAAUGGCUUCUGCCCCCUCCUAUAUGGACUUCUAGGCACAGUCAAGUUAUUCCUCGUUGCAGACAGGAAUCUAUUCUGGCAAAUGGCUAAAGGCUGCUGGAAGAUGCCAUAGACAAUCAUUAUUGGUCCUGUGCUGUUCUGAGUUGCGCCUCUCUGUGCUUGAGAAUACCAAGGCCUGUUUUGAAUCCUAGUCUGGGGCUGUAAUAAACGUGUUUUUUAAAGGGUGAAGUUCCUUCUUCUGGUUAAAUCAAAUGCAAGAUAUUGGAUAAUCCUGACCACAGUAAUAACUCCCCAUACAUUGAUCCUAUGUGCAGUGGCAAACUACAUAACACAUGUUCAAAUCUAAAUGUAAAACUUGAAAUAUGGAAAUGAUUACAACUGUUUCUGUGUGUCAUGAUUGUAUUAAUACAUACACUGUUGUGUACAAGAUUUGUUCUGUACUGCAGUCAUUUCAAUUUAAUAAAAUUUCAUUUGAAAUGUG
Long non-coding RNA from Xenopus laevis (African clawed frog), 2706 nucleotides. RefSeq lists it as uncharacterized. The transcript is spliced from 3 exons. The record is from RefSeq and is a predicted model, not a curated record. NCBI's taxonomy places the organism in Eukaryota, Metazoa, Chordata, Amphibia, Anura, Pipidae.